UACGGGGGGAGCAAGCGUUGUUCGGAAUUACUGGGCGUAAAGCGCACGUAGGCGGAUCGAUCAGUCAGGGGUGAAAUCCCAGGGCUCAACCCUGGAACUGCCUUUGAUACUGUCGAUCUGGAGUAUGGAAGAGGUGAGUGGAAUUCCGAGUGUAGAGGUGAAAUUCGUAGAUAUUCGGAGGAACACCAGUGGCGAAGGCGGCUCACUGGUCCAUUACUGACGCUGAGGUGCGAAAGCGUGGGGAGCAAACAGG
This 253-nucleotide ribosomal RNA is filed under the name uncultured bacterium. RNAcentral's name for it is "partial 16S ribosomal RNA". It matches the Rfam family "Bacterial small subunit ribosomal RNA", at positions 524 to 776 of the family's 1533-position model. The record is from RNAcentral.